Molecule: ribosomal RNA, 544 nt
Filed under: uncultured bacterium
Lineage: Bacteria
Description: partial 16S ribosomal RNA
Rfam family: Bacterial small subunit ribosomal RNA
Source: RNAcentral
UGGGGAAUUUUGGACAAUGGGCGCAAGCCUGAUCCAGCCAUGCCGCGUGCGGGAAGAAGGCCUUCGGGUUGUAAACCGCUUUUGUCAGGGAAGAAAUCUUCUGAGUUAAUACCUCGGGAGGAUGACGGUACCUGAAGAAUAAGCACCGGCUAACUACGUGCCAGCAGCCGCGGUAAUACGUAGGGUGCAAGCGUUAAUCGGAAUUACUGGGCGUAAAGCGUGCGCAGGCGGUUUUGCAAGACAGAGGUGAAAUCCCCGGGCUCAACCUGGGAACUGCCUUUGUGACUGCAAGGCUUGAGUGCGGCAGAGGGGGAUGGAAUUCCGCGUGUAGCAGUGAAAUGCGUAGAUAUGCGGAGGAACACCGAUGGCGAAGGCAAUCCCCUGGGCCUGCACUGACGCUCAUGCACGAAAGCGUGGGGAGCAAACAGGAUUAGAUAGCCCUGGUAGUCCACGCCCUAAACGGUGUCAACUGGUUGUUGGGAAGGUUCCUUCUCAGUAACGUAGCUAACGCGUGAAGUUGACCGCCUGGGGAGUACGGCCGCAA